UACGUAGGCAGCGAGCGUUGUUCGGAAUUACUGGGCGUAAAGCGUGCGUAGGCGGUCGGCUAAGUUUGGUGUGAAAUCUCCCGGCUCAACCGGGAGGGUGCGCCGAAAACUGGCCGGCUAGAGUGCGGGAGAGGGAAGUGGAAUUCCUGGUGUAGCGGUGAAAUGCGUAGAUAUCAGGAGGAACACCGGUGGUGAAGACGGCUUCCUGGACCGUGACUGACGCUGAGGCACGUCAGCGUGGGGAGCAAACAGG
RNAcentral lists this ribosomal RNA (253 nucleotides) under uncultured bacterium. RNAcentral's name for it is "partial 16S ribosomal RNA". It matches the Rfam family "Bacterial small subunit ribosomal RNA", at positions 524 to 776 of the family's 1533-position model. The record is from RNAcentral.